Molecule: long non-coding RNA, 293 nt
Filed under: Pan troglodytes (chimpanzee)
Lineage: Eukaryota; Metazoa; Chordata; Mammalia; Primates; Hominidae
Description: long non-coding RNA NONPTRT008019
Source: RNAcentral
CGGAGAGCUGGGCCACCUCUGCCGUGGCUGGGCCGAGACCCUCACCAAAGCUCUGGCCCACGUGGAGGCCUAUAUCGAUUUCGGCGAGGAUGACAACCUGGAGGAGGGGGUCCUGGAGCAAGCCGACAUCAAAGUACGGGCACUGGAGGUGGCCCUGGGUGCACAUCUACGAGAUGCCAGGCGCGGGCAGAGGCUCCGCUCAGGGGCGCACGUAGUGGUCACUGGACCCCCCAAUGCGGGCAAGAGCAGCCUAGUGAACCUGCUCAGUGAGUAGGCGGCGGGAAGGGGGCGGG